RNAcentral lists this ribosomal RNA (1249 nucleotides) under Nocardiopsis sp. AUNIA-19. Its description in RNAcentral is "bacterial SSU rRNA". It matches the Rfam family "Bacterial small subunit ribosomal RNA", at positions 232 to 1447 of the family's 1533-position model. Lineage: Bacteria; Bacillati; Actinomycetota; Actinomycetes; Streptosporangiales; Nocardiopsidaceae. The record is from RNAcentral.
UCGCGCCUAUCAGCUUGUGGUGGGUAACGGCCUACCAAGGCGAUUACGGGUACCGGCCUGAGAGGCGACCGGCCACACUGGGACUGAGCACGGCCCAGACUCCUGCGGGAGGCAGCAGUGGGAAUAUUGCGCAAUGGGCGAAAGCCUGACGCAGCGACGCCGCGUGGGGGAUGACGGCCUUCGGGUUGUAACCUCUUUUACCACCAACGCAGGCUCCGGGUUCUCUCGGGGUUGACGGUAGGUGGGGAAUAAGGACCGGCUAACUACGUGCCAGCAGCCGCGGUAAUACGUAGGGUCCGAGCGUUGUCCGGAAUUAUUGGGCGUAAAGAGCUCGUAGGCGGCGUGUCGCGUCUGCUGUGAAAGACCGGGGCUUAACCCCGGUUCUGCAGUGGAUACGGGCAUGCUAGAGGUAGGUAGGGGAGACUGGAAUUCCUGGUGUAGCGGUGAAAUGCGCAGAUAUCAGGAGGAACACCGGUGGCGAAGGCGGGUCUCUGGGCCUUACCUGACGCUGAGGAGCGAAAGCAUGGGGAGCGAACAGGAUUAGAUACCCUGGUAGUCCAUGCCGUAAACGUUGGGCGCUAGGUGUGGGGACUUUCCACGGUUUCCGCGCCGUAGCUAACGCAUUAAGCGCCCCGCCUGGGGAGUACGGCCGCAAGGCUAAAACUCAAAGGAAUUGACGGGGGCCCGCACAAGCGGCGGAGCAUGUUGCUUAAUUCGACGCAACGCGAAGAACCUUACCAAGGUUUGACAUCACCCGUGGACCUGUAGAGAUACAGGGUCAUUUGGUUGGCGGGUGACAGGUGGUGCAUGGCUGUCGUCAGCUCGUGUCGUGAGAUGUUGGGUUAAGUCCCGCAACGAGCGCAACCCUUGUUCCAUGUUGCCAGCACGUAGUGGUGGGGACUCAUGGGAGACUGCCGGGGUCAACUCGGAGGAAGGUGGGGACGACGUCAAGUCAUCAUGCCCCUUAUGUCUUGGGCUGCAAACAUGCUACAAUGGCCGGUACAAUGGGCGUGCGAUACCGUGAGGUGGAGCGAAUCCCUAAAAGCCGGUCUCAGUUCGGAUUGGGGUCUGCAACUCGACCCCAUGAAGGUGGAGUCGCUAGUAAUCGCGGAUCAGCAACGCCGCGGUGAAUACGUUCCCGGGCCUUGUACACACCGCCCGUCACGUCAUGAAAGUCGGCAACACCCGAAACUUGUGUUAGUACCAUCCUGGCUCGAGUGGAACUGCUGUGUUGUCCCCGGCCGCCUCC